This 448-nucleotide ribosomal RNA is filed under the name uncultured bacterium. Its description in RNAcentral is "partial 16S ribosomal RNA". It matches the Rfam family "Bacterial small subunit ribosomal RNA", at positions 330 to 793 of the family's 1533-position model. The record is from RNAcentral.
CCCAGACUCCUACGGGAGGCAGCAGUGGGGAAUAUUGCACAAUGGGGGGAACCCUGAUGCAGCGACGCCGCGUGGGUGAAGGAGCACCUCGGUGCGUAAAGCCCUCUCGGCAGGGAAGAAGCAAGACGGUACCUGACUAAGAAGCCCCGGCUAACUACGUGCCAGCAGCCGCGGUAAUACGUAGGGGGCGAGCGUUAUCCGGAUUUACUGGGUGUAAAGGGAGCGUAGACGGCGGUGCAAGCCAGAUGUGAAAGCCCGGGGCUCAACCCCGGGACUGCAUUUGGAACUGUGCUGCUAGAGUGUCGGAGAGGCAGGCGGAAUUCCUAGUGUAGCGGUGAAAUGCGUAGAUAUUAGGAGGAACACCGGUGGCGAAGGCGGCCUGCUGGACUGUAACUGACGUUGAGGCUCGAAAGCGUGGGGAGCAAACAGGAUUAGAUACCCCCGUAUG